GAUGAACGCUGGUGGCGUGCCUAACACAUGCAAGUCGGGCGAUUCUCUUCGGAGAAGAGCGGCGGACGGGUGAGUAACGCGUGGGUAACCUGCCCUGUACACACGGAUAACAUACCGAAAGGUAUGCUAAUACGAGAUAACAUGCUUUUAUCGCAUGGUAGAAGUAUCAAAGCUUUUGCGGUACAGGAUGGACCCGCGUCUGAUUAGCUAGUUGGUGAGGUAACGGCUCACCAAGGCGACGAUCAGUAGCCGACCUGAGAGGGUGAUCGGCCACAUUGGAACUGAGACACGGUCCAAACUCCUACGGGAGGCAGCAGUGGGGAAUAUUGCACAAUGGGCGAAAGCCUGAUGCAGCAACGCCGCGUGAGCGAUGAAGGCCUUCGGGUCGUAAAGCUCUGUCCUCAAGGAAGAUAAUGACGGUACUUGAGGAGGAAGCCCCGGCUAACUACGUG
This 452-nucleotide ribosomal RNA is filed under the name uncultured bacterium. RNAcentral describes it as "partial 16S ribosomal RNA". It matches the Rfam family "Bacterial small subunit ribosomal RNA", at positions 28 to 507 of the family's 1533-position model. The record is from RNAcentral.